Molecule: long non-coding RNA, 225 nt
Organism: Triticum dicoccoides
Lineage: Eukaryota; Viridiplantae; Streptophyta; Magnoliopsida; Poales; Poaceae
Exons: 3
Source: RefSeq, a predicted model, not a curated record
CUUCACACUAAAGGCUCCUCAUGUUCUCAAGAUUAUUCAAGCAAGCAAGCAAUAUACUGUAUCUCUCAAGCAAUUUACUCAUACGUGUGAUUGGAAAGACGACAACCAUUUGUUCUACGACACUACUAUCUGACAGGUUCUUAACUCAUCAGGCCGGGCUACUGAGUAUACAUAUUGUGUUCAUCUCGCCUUCCUUCUUAGGAAAAAUCAUGUACUGAAGGUAAG